RNAcentral lists this non-coding RNA (617 nucleotides) under Gongylonema pulchrum. Its description in RNAcentral is "Eukaryotic small subunit ribosomal RNA". It matches the Rfam family "Eukaryotic small subunit ribosomal RNA", at positions 1121 to 1431 of the family's 1831-position model. The record is from Rfam by way of RNAcentral. Lineage: Eukaryota; Metazoa; Nematoda; Chromadorea; Rhabditida; Gongylonematidae.
UAUAAAUAUGGUUCCAAAGGUGAAACUUAGAAAAACUGACGAAGGGCGCCGCCAAGACUGGAGUCUGCGGAUUAAUCUGGAUUUAGCACGGGAAAAAUCGCUUGGCCCAGACGCCGUGCGAAUUGACAGAGUGAGGGCUCUUUUCUGAUUUGCUUGUUGGCAGUGCAUGGCCGCCCUUAGUUGGUGGAGUGAUAUUUUCUGGUUUAUGUACCUCAACUUUUAAUUUUUAAGAAGAAAAACUUUAAUUUGGGGGAACUCAGAGCCCAAAAUUUUACCCACCUUUGAGAAGUUAUCCUCAGUUUUACAAAUGCAAUUGAAUAAUGAUUGGAAACGUACUACUUUCUAGGAGUUCAAAGUAUGGGUAGCUGGAAAAUACGAUUUAAAAGGUUAUAGCAUUCAGCACAUUACGUAGCAGUAUGCUGCACCAGUGUGUUACCAUGGACACCAGAAGCGCACCCAUUGGACACCAAUUGCACCCGUUCCCAGUAAGUCAUUUCAUGAACAUUUUAGGAUUAUAAGAAAUCAAAAUGCAACAUCCCUACCAGUCCCGGUAUAAUUUGCAAAUUUCAGAUCUGGCUUGCCAAUAAAAGUGGCUGCUCUCGCUGUUUUUCGCGAAU